AUGGCUCCGUGUCAAGUGGUCGUCUUUACUGGAAAGGAAGGCAGGUCCUCUCUGGUGUCCAGCGAGAGAGCCGUUGCUUGGUUACGCAGAUAUGGGCAGCCGCUGACUUUUUAUCAAUCACCAAGGACCACAGUUUCAGCUAAAAAUCUUCUUUGCUGAUCUACUCAAGAAAACAAGUCACCUAAGUCUUGGAUGGCCUGAGGUCACAGACAACAUUCAAAAAUCAACCAGACGUCAUCCAUGGCAAUGGUGCCUGUCUAAUCAUAUCUGAGGUUCAGAUGCUGGUCACAUCUGGGUCAACAUCUUCCAUGUUACCAUUCCCAGUUGCAGGUCUGUCAUGAUUUUCUGAAUGCAUGUGUGUGUCGACACACGUUUGAGAGCACCGCCUCAGGCACGACAGCUAUUUCCAGCUUUCCAGAAAUAAGCUUUUCCAACCGGACGCAACUUUUAACCUUUUAAAUGUUAAAAGUAACUAGUAUUGCCUGUGUUCGGAAACACAGCGGCUAAAACGGAUGCAGCGGCGUGAUAAGAAUCAAAAAAGUGAUGCAACUAAUUCAACCUGGGAGCUUUGCCUGAAACCAAAAGCAUGCAUAACAAAUGAACAGAGCUCUACAACAGAAGCAUAAAGCUAAACGAGAGGCAAGACAAGCCAACAAAGUAUAUUUCAGAGGAGAACAGGGACAUUUAUCAAUUUUUUUUCUAGCAAAUAUAGGUUCAU
Carassius carassius (crucian carp) is the source of this 718-nucleotide long non-coding RNA. RefSeq lists it as uncharacterized. The record is from RefSeq and is a predicted model, not a curated record. The transcript is spliced from 3 exons. Lineage: Eukaryota; Metazoa; Chordata; Actinopteri; Cypriniformes; Cyprinidae.